UUAAAGGACAGGAUAACAGGGUAUGGUGUUGUGCGCAACUGGUUAUCAAUUUGUAAUGUAGAGAUUUGAAAGGAAAGCCUUUGUUGGUCCACACUCUGAAUCAGAUUAAGAGUGAUAUCCUUUGCACAUGCAAAAAGCAAUUCCUGUGGAUGACCAUUAACCAAGGAGAUACCAAUGCAUGAAAUAGCUAGAGAAAAUUUCUCCUGAUAAUCAACGAAGUUUUGCUCUUG
This 230-nucleotide unclassified non-coding RNA is filed under the name Hevea brasiliensis (rubber tree). Lineage: Eukaryota; Viridiplantae; Streptophyta; Magnoliopsida; Malpighiales; Euphorbiaceae. The record is from RNAcentral.